RNAcentral lists this ribosomal RNA (358 nucleotides) under uncultured bacterium. Its description in RNAcentral is "bacterial SSU rRNA". It matches the Rfam family "Bacterial small subunit ribosomal RNA", at positions 28 to 380 of the family's 1533-position model. The record is from RNAcentral.
GAUGAACGCUAGCGACAGGCCUAACACAUGCAAGUCGAGGGGCAGCACAAGGGUAGCAAUAUUCUGGUGGCGACCGGCGCACGGGUGAGUAACACGUAUGCAACCUACCUGUAAGAGGGGAAUAACCCGGAGAAAUUCGGACUAACACCGCAUAAUACCGUUUAACUGCAUGGUUGAACGGUUAAAUAUUUAUAGCUUACAGAUGGGCAUGCGUAUGAUUAGCUAGUUGGUGAGGUAACGGCUCACCAAGGCAACGAUCAUUAGGGGUUCUGAGAGGAAGGUCCCCCACACUGGUACUGAGAUACGGACCAGACUCCUACGGGAGGCAGCAGUGAGGAAUAUUGCACAAUGGGCGAAA